This 253-nucleotide ribosomal RNA is filed under the name uncultured bacterium. RNAcentral describes it as "partial 16S ribosomal RNA". It matches the Rfam family "Bacterial small subunit ribosomal RNA", at positions 524 to 776 of the family's 1533-position model. The record is from RNAcentral.
UACGAAGGGGGCUAGCGUUGUUCGGAAUUACUGGGCGUAAAGGGCGCGUAGGCUGUGCUGUAAGUCAGGCGUGAAAGCCCCGGGCUCAACCUGGGAAUGGCAGUGGAAACUAGGGGACUUGAAUCUGGCAGAGGGGGGUGGAAUUCCACGUGUAGCAGUGAAAUGCGUAGAGAUGUGGAGGAACACCGAUGGCGAAGGCAGCCCCCUGGGCUGAGAUUGACGCUCAGGCACGAAAGCGUGGGGAGCAAACAGG